Molecule: long non-coding RNA, 179 nt
Organism: Limulus polyphemus (Atlantic horseshoe crab)
Lineage: Eukaryota; Metazoa; Arthropoda; Merostomata; Xiphosura; Limulidae
Exons: 2
Source: RefSeq, a predicted model, not a curated record
GGUAUUGUUUGAUUUAAAAUACUACAUCUGUUGUAGCUGUAGGUAUUGUUUGAUUUAAAAUACUACAUCUGUUGUAGCUGUAGGUGUUGUUUGAUUUAAAAUACUACAUCUGUUGUAGCUGUAUGUAUUGUUUGAUUUAAAAUACUACAUCUGUUGUAGCUGUAGGUAUUAUUUGACUU